CGAACGAAGCGCUUAAAUGGAUUUCUUCGGAUUGAAGUUUUUGUGACUGAGUGGCGGACGGGUGAGUAACGCGUGGGUAACCUGCCUCAUACAGGGGGAUAACAGUUAGAAAUGACUGCUAAUACCGCAUAAGCGCACAGUGCUGCAUGGCACAGUGUGAAAAACUCCGGUGGUAUGAGAUGGACCCGCGUCUGAUUAGCUAGUUGGUGGGGUAAUGGCCUACCAAGGCGACGAUCAGUAGCCGGCCUGAGAGGGUGAACGGCCACAUUGGGACUGAGACACGGCCCAAACUCCUACGGGAGGCAGCAGUGGGGAAUAUUGCACAAUGGGGGAAACCCUGAUGCAGCGACGCCGCGUGAGCGAAGAAGUAUUUCGGUAUGUAAAGCUCUAUCAGCAGGGAAGAAAAUGACGGUACCUGACUAAGAAGCACCGGCUAAAUACGUGCCAGCAGCCGCGGUAAUACGUAUGGUGCAAGCGUUAUCCGGAUUUACUGGGUGUAAAGGGAGCGUAGACGGUUGUGUAAGUCUGAUGUGAAAGCCCGGGGCUCAACCCCGGGGCUGCAUUGGAAACUAUGUAACUAGAGUGUCGGAGAGGUAAGCGGAAUUCCUAGUGUAGCGGUGAAAUGCGUAGAUAUUAGGAGGAACACCAGUGGCGAAGG
Molecule: ribosomal RNA, 658 nt
Filed under: uncultured Lachnospiraceae bacterium
Lineage: Bacteria; Bacillati; Bacillota; Clostridia; Lachnospirales; Lachnospiraceae
Description: bacterial SSU rRNA
Rfam family: Bacterial small subunit ribosomal RNA
Source: RNAcentral